RNAcentral lists this unclassified non-coding RNA (150 nucleotides) under uncultured Xylariales. Its description in RNAcentral is "sequence contains ITS1". Lineage: Eukaryota; Fungi; Ascomycota; Sordariomycetes; Xylariales. The record is from RNAcentral.
CAGAGUUGUAAAACUCCCAAACCCAUGUGAACAUACCUGUUGCCUCGGCGGGCUACCCGGCAGCUACCCUGUAGCUACCCUGUAGUCCGCCGGCGGAAUUCAAAACUCUUGUUUUCAAUUGUCAUCUCUGAGAAUAAAACAAAUAAAUCA